GCCCUUAUGGUAAAGAGGUUAAUACGUCGCCCUCUCACGGCGAAGUCGGCGGUUCGAUUCCGCCUAAGGGUACCA
Molecule: transfer RNA, 75 nt
Filed under: Clostridia bacterium
Lineage: Bacteria; Bacillati; Bacillota; Clostridia
Description: tRNA-Glu
Rfam family: tRNA
About the family: Transfer RNA (tRNA) molecules are approximately 80 nucleotides in length. Their secondary structure includes four short double-helical elements and three loops (D, anti-codon, and T loops). Further hydrogen bonds mediate the characteristic L-shaped molecular structure. tRNAs have two regions of fundamental functional importance: the anti-codon, which is responsible for specific mRNA codon recognition, and the 3' end, to which the tRNAs corresponding amino acid is attached (by aminoacyl-tRNA synthetases). tRNAs cope with the degeneracy of the genetic code in two manners: having more than one tRNA (with a specific anti-codon) for a particular amino acid; and 'wobble' base-pairing, i.e. permitting non-standard base-pairing at the 3rd anti-codon position.
Source: RNAcentral